Molecule: long non-coding RNA, 5319 nt
Filed under: Salmo salar (Atlantic salmon)
Lineage: Eukaryota; Metazoa; Chordata; Actinopteri; Salmoniformes; Salmonidae
Description: lncRNA (ENSSSAG00000107399.1)
Source: RNAcentral
CUCUCUCUCUCCCCUCUCCCCCCUCUCCUCUCUCUCCCCCCUCUCCCCCCUCUUUCUCUCACUCUCUCUCUUUCCUCUCUCUCUCAUCCUUUGUUUUUUUUGGCAUAGCUAGUUGUGAUGUAUCCUAAAACAGAAGAUGCGGUCUAGUUGUUUGUGUUUUUGCUCGUAAUGUAGAUGCAUAAUAAUAUUGCUUAAAAUGUAUGUUCUGAGAUGAGUUGUGUAAAAUAGUGUCAAAUUUGCUGAUAUUUCAUUAUAAUAUAAACAGAAAUAUUUUCCUUUCCAAGUGUAUUUUAUCCAUUCUACAAACAUGCUUAACCUUUUAAUUGCCUAGAUACAUUAGUAUAAAUUGUGCAUGGAAUGAAGUAGAUUUUAACAUGAAAAUGUUUGACAUUAACUUCCAUAAUGGCCAAUAAUGAUUUAUUACAUAGCAAUACGUUUUGGUUUGAAGUAAUGGUAUAUUGUUAAUAUGCUUCCGUUUACUUCAAAAGGCCCCUCUUGUAUUGACAUCCAUCAUAUCAGCUAACAUGAAGUUGCUGCUGCUGCUUCUAAUUCUUAUUCUUAUUAUUCACUGAGGUAGCAGCCAUUUUGGGAUUAGAUAGAUAGAUAGCUGCCUAUCUAUGAUGCUAGAGAUACAGCAGCAUGGUGCUAGUGGUGUCUCCUUAGAUGUGUGUGUGUGCACAUAAUAUUUGUGUGAGGGAUAGUGUGUGUGAGUACUUCAGGGCUUAAGCUGUAAGUGUACGAAGGUCUGAUUUUGUCAGUGGGUACAUGUUGGUGUGUGUUCUUUGUCAUAUGUUGUACCCCAGUAUAUCUAGCUGCAGAGUGCCUAGCUGGUGUCAGCCUCGUAGGCAGUAAAAGUGUCUUUGUUCAGUCAGUCUCCGUGCUGUGGUGUGUCUGUGCUGUGGUGUGUCUGUGCUGUGGUGUCUCUGUGCUGUCUCUGUGCUGUGGUGUCUCUGUGCUGUGGUGUCUCUGCGCUGUGGUGUCUCUGCGCUGUGAUGUCUCUGUGCUGUGGUGUCUCUGUGCUGUGGUGUCUCUGUGCUGUGCUGUGGUGUCUCUGUGCUGUGGUGUCUCUGUGCUGUGGUUUCUCUGUGCUGUGCUGUGGUGUCUCCGUGCUGUGGUGUCUCUGUGCUGUACUGUGGUGUCUCUGUGCUGUGGUGUCUCUGUGCUGUGGUGUCUCUGUGCUGUGCUGUGGUGUCUCUGUGCUGUGCUGUGGUAUCUCUGUGCUGUGGUGUCUCUGUGCUGUGGUGUGUCUGUGCUGUGGUGUCUCUGUGCUGUGGUGUCUCUAUCACCCCUAUCUACCACUGAUGUCAUUAGUGAAAAGAGAACAUUGGCACAUUGGGAGCCUGGCUUAUUUGACAAUCCUCUGCCACUGCCUCCUCACCACAACAUAAAACCUGCAUCCUCACCACAUAUUUUUUGUAUACAUUCUCAGCGGUGACCAACCUCUGCCAGCGUAGCACAAUCUCUAUGUAAAUGUAUUCUGAUUCAUUUGUUGCCCAAAGACCAUCAGCUCGGCUGGCUGGAGGAAGAGGGCUGUGGUGGGGAGGAAGGUGUUUCCACACUGGGCUAUAGCUGUCUGGGCUUGUGUUAGAUUGCUGUUAAAGCUAGCAGCUAGGAGGUGUACCCCUGCCAAAAACAUCCAAAAACCCCCAUUAAACACUGUUUAUGUUGGGCUGUGAUUUACAAAUGGGCUUUUGCCUUUGGCGUAGCACCCCUGUGUCACUCCGCUUUUCCAUCAGGCACGCAGCAGACAGCUAAAGAAUAGAAUGGGGGGUGGGGGGGGUCCUCACUCAGCAAGCGUAGGGUGACGGGAAAGGGGAGGGAGGGAGGAAGGUGUGAGCUUUUCCAGCUUUGUGGGGACUCCUCUCUACAACGCAGUUUGGUGUUCAUUUUGAGAUAUUCCUGAGUGCAUCGACACAAUCUCUCUCUCUCUCACACACACACACACACACACACACACACACACACACACACACACACACACACACACACACACACACACACACACACACACACACACACACACACACACACACACACACACACACACACACACACACACACACACACACUUUCCAGUAUCUCUAUUGUUGUGAACUUUACCUCAUUGCUAUUUAUUUUACUGUCAUCCUGGCUGUUGUGUGAGACUGUGGAAGACUCCGUACAUGAGACAGGCCUGUUGUUUCCAUUGGAGGAUGAACAUACUGCAGGCUGAUGCUGAUGUUCUUAUUGUUUCUGCUGUAGGAACUCCACAGUCCUGGGAGGACAUGAGUCAGUACUGACUGUAUCACAGAGGACCAGAGAGGAUGGAGCUUGUCAUUGACCUGCUUUUAAUAAUCUAGUUAGUCUAAUGUAGGAUCUAUCCGUGGUCAUCAAAUAGGAUCAUUGUGAUCUAAAAAACUGUAAUAUAAGAUAUUGCAGGGGGAUUAGAAUGUUUUGGACAUAAUAGUGAAUGUAUUACAUGUUUAAUAGAUAAUACUAGUUGUGAGAGAAAUGUAAAUCAUUUUAAGUUGAACUAUGAGGUAGCCCACUGAGAGUAGUUAUUUUUGGAUCGUGGUUAGGAGAAUAAUCUUAACACAGUUAUACAUCUUCUUAUACUUUCUAUCUUUCUUGCUUUCAAGCUGUUUUUCUUGCGACUUCACUUUUUUCUUUUCUUUUUAGUCUUUUUUUCUCCUUGUGGCUGUGGAGACAUGGAAUGAAGUGUGCUUUGCUGAGUCCAUAAAGAGGCGUUUUAAAAAGCUGUGUUAACAGACGAACAAUGGUUAAAUGAGCCCCCCUCGGUGAGGGGCUGGUACCCAUGGGGACUCAGCAUGGCACUCUAUUGGCCCAGCUCUCCCCAGUCCCCCAUUCACCACUCAGUCAUGGUCACUUAUGGUGGAGGGAAAAUCACACGAUUCAUGCGAGGCGUGAUCCAAUGACAUUUUAAUGAGCCCCUACUUUUUGGUUGGGCCAGACUGGACGGACUGGAUGGACACAACUUCAGGUUUCCCCAAGUUUCUGUCAGUCAGGUCAAACCAAACUCUUUCACUCUCUAUCUCUCUCUCUCUGUCUCCAUCCCUCUACCCCUCUCUUUCCUCUCUCCCUCUCCCCUCCUCUCAGGCCUUUUGGCCCACCAGGACCAGAGACAAAGCUCCCACAGCCCAGUUGCAGUCUUUAUGUUGCUCCUGCUGGUAGUUACCAUGACGAUGUCAUCAGAGAACCACCCUUUCUGCUGCCACAAUAGACUUUUUCUUUGUGAGAGUGUUUACAAUGAACAUUUUUAUAUGCAUAAAAAAUGAUGUAACGUUUGAUCUAAACUGAAUUUUGAUACUUGUGGGAUUCAAUAUAUUUACUGAUCAACAUUUUCAAAGGAGACAACUUAUAUAGUAUCUGUGAUUAUGUGCCAGUCUCAUUUUUCAUUAUGACAGAACAAUCUCUUUCUGAGACAUUACAUCAUGUAUCACACUCAUGUGUCCUAUGGUGUGUGUCAGUGUGUCAGUGUUGUCAGUGUGUCAGUGUGUCAGUGUUGUCAGUGUGUCAGUGUGUCAGUGUUGUCAGUGUUGUCAGUGUGUCAGUGUGUCAGUGUGUCAGUGUUGUCAGUGUUGUCAGUGUGUCAGUGUGUCAGUGUGUCAGUGUGUCAGUGUGUCAGUGUUGUCAGUGUGUCAGUGUGUCAGUGUUGUCAGUGUUGUCAGUGUGUCAGUGUGUCAGUGUUGUCAGUGUGUCAGUGUUGUCAGUGUGUCAGUGUGUCAGUGUUGUCAGUGUGUCAGUGUUGUCAGUGUGUCAGUGUGUCAGUGUUGUCAGUGUGUCAGUGUUGUCAGUGUGUCAGUGUUGUCAGUGUUGUCAGUGUGUCAGUGUGUCAGUGUGUCAGUGUUGUCAGUGUGUCAGUGUUGUCAGUGUUGUCAGUGUUGUCAGUGUGUCAGUGUUGUCAGUGUGUCAGUGUUGUCAGUGUUGUCAGUGUUGUCAGUGUGUCAGUGUUGUCAGUGUUGUCAGUGUGUCAGUGUGUCAGUGUUGUCAGUGUGUCAGUGUUGUCAGUGUGUCAGUGUGUCAGUGUUGUCAGUGUGUCAGUGUUGUCAGUGUGUCAGUGUGUCAGUGUGUCAGUGUUGUCAGUGUGUCAGUGUUGUCAGUGUGUCAGUGUGUCAGUGUGUCAGUGGGUCAGUGUUGUCAGUGUGUCAGUGUGUCAGUGUUGUCAGUGUGUCAGUGUGUCAGUGUGUCAGUGUUGUCAGUGUGUCAGUGUGUCAGUGUUGUCAGUGUGUCAGUGUUGUCAGUGUGUCAGUGUUGUCAGUGUGUCAGUAUAUCAGUGUUGUCAGUGUUGUCAGUGUUGUCAGUGUGUCAGUGUGUCAGUGUUGUCAGUGUGUCAGUGUUGUCAGUAUAUCAGUGUUGUCAGUGUGUCAGUGUUGUCAGUAUAUCAGUGUUGUCAGUGUUGUCAGUGUUGUCAGUGUUGUCAGUGUGUCAGUGUUGUCUGUGUGAUAUGUCUAUGGCUAAGAACUGUCAUUAAACUGUCUGACCACAUCACCACACUCAACCAUCAUCUGGCCGUCCACACACUGCAACCACCAGGCUCAUACCACAGGUCCUGGGCCAACAGCCCAGCAGCACACACAAACAUCCAGCAUAUACCAAUCUCCCUCUGCAGAGCCUCCCCACUGAGCUGCCUGUCUUUCUCUCGAUGCACCCUGCUUCUCAUGAGCCUCACUACUAGCUGACAUUGGUGGCUGUGGUGGGGAUGCAGAAUUAGUAUGCAGCAGAGCAGACAGGCCUUCUGUUCUAAUGGGGAGUCCAGAGCAGAGCAGAGUAGAGCGGAGUAGAGCAGAGUAGAAUAGAACAGAGCAAAGCAUAGCAGACGGAGCAUCAGUCUACCGGGGGAUUGAACAGCACCUUCCCUCCUCUCAUCCCCUCUCAGCCCCGGCCUGUCCCGAACCUUAAUGGGACAUCAGACAGACAGACAGAGAGACAGGCAGACAGAGAGACAGACAGACAGAGAGACAGGCAGACAGGCGUCAUUGAGCACAGAGCCCAGCCACCCCACCCCCCUCCUCCUCCUCCCCUCCCCUCCAAAAAUACACCCUCUUUCACACCACCCUCCAGGGCUAUUGAGGGGAUCCUAGACACCCUCCACCCCUCAGCCAAACUCUGCAUAAAUGAUGCUGGUGCCUCUGUGCAGUCCUAUCAGCACCCCCACGCUGUUUCCCAUCCUCCCCUGUCCCCUGUCAUUCCCCUCUCCCUCCCCUGCCCGUCAUUCCCCUCUCCCUCCCCUGCCCGUCAUUCCCCUCUCCCUCCCCUGCCCCAUGUCAUUCCCCUCUCCCUCCCCUGCCCCCUGUCAUUCCCCUCUCCCUCCCCUGCCCC